GAUGAACGCUAGCGGAACGCCUAACACAUGCAAGUCGAGCGGGGGAAGGUAGCUUGCUACCGGACCUAGCGGCGGACGGGUGAGUAAUGCUUAGGAAUCUGCCUAUUAGUGGGGGACAACAUCUCGAAAGGGAUGCUAAUACCGCAUACGUCCUACGGGAGAAAGCAGGGGAUCUUCGGACCUUGCGCUAAUAGAUGAGCCUAAGUCGGAUUAGCUAGUUGGUGGGGUAAAGGCCUACCAAGGCGACGAUCUGUAGCGGGUCUGGGAGGAUGAUCCGCCACACUGGGACUGAGACACGGCCCAGACUCCUACGGGAGGCAGCAGUGGGGAAUAUUGGACAAUGGGGGGAACCCUGAUCCAGCCAUGCCGCGUGUGUGAAGAAGGCCUUAUGGUUGUAAAGCACUUUAAGCGAGGAGGAGGCUACUUUAGUUAAUACCUAGAGAUAGUGACGUUACUCGCAGAAUAAGCACCGGCUAACUCUGUGCCAGCAGCCGCGGUAA
This 500-nucleotide ribosomal RNA is filed under the name uncultured bacterium. RNAcentral's name for it is "partial 16S ribosomal RNA". It matches the Rfam family "Bacterial small subunit ribosomal RNA", at positions 28 to 523 of the family's 1533-position model. The record is from RNAcentral.